AGGUCAUUUAGCAAAUGGAUUGUUAUAUUGUGAAACCAGGAGCUCUUAAGUCUAUGACCAAAGUUUGAAGGUCUCUACAAAACGCAUGGCUAGUCACUCAGUUUCUCCUGAGGACAUAUCACA
This 123-nucleotide small nucleolar RNA is filed under the name Meriones unguiculatus (Mongolian gerbil). RNAcentral describes it as "Small nucleolar RNA SNORA25 (ENSMUGG00000003773.1)". Lineage: Eukaryota; Metazoa; Chordata; Mammalia; Rodentia; Muridae. The record is from RNAcentral.